UACUAGAGUAGCACUCGCAUAUCAAUAAGCGGAGGAAAAGAAACUAACAAGGAUUCCCCUAGUAACGGCGAGUGAAGCGGGAAGAGCUCAAAUUUGAAAUCUUAAAGGGUUUCCCUUUACGAAUUGUAGUUUAAAGAAGUGUUUUCUGUUGAGGUUUUGGUAAAAGUUCUUUGGAAUAGGACAUCAUAGAGGGUGAGAAUCCCGUAUUUGACCUUUACUUUCAACUUUGUGAUACACUUUCAAAGAGUCGGAUUGUUUGGGAAUGCAGUCCAAAAUGGGUGGUAAAUUUCAUCUAAAGCUAAAUAUUGGCGAGAGACCGAUAGCGAACAAGUACCGUGAGGGAAAGAUGAAAAGAACUUUGAAAAGAGAGUUAAACAGUACGUGAAAUUGUCAAAAGGGAAGCGUUUGACACCAGUGUUGUUUUUCUGAAAAUCAAUUAAAGAACUGUUUAUGCUAAGUUGUUUAGACUUUAUCAGCUAAUCUGUUUAGUUUUGAGCUUUUCUUUAAUGCACUUUUCAGUUAACAAGUCAACAUCAAUUUCUUUUGCUGUAAAAAAGCUUGAGGAAGGUGGCUUGAGAUUCGUCUUAAGUGUUUAUAGCCUCUUGCCUAUGCAGUCGGAGAGAUUGAGGUCUGCAGCGUAGAUCCUUCGGGGCUAAAUGCAUUUGUGCUAAGUUAUAGCAUUUUAUAGACAACUUGUUGACUAUGAUUUGUCUUGUAGCUUACUCGCUUAUGUUAUUUUACCUACGCUUAGGAUGUUGAACUACUGAGACAUAGA
This 775-nucleotide ribosomal RNA is filed under the name uncultured Neocallimastigales. Its description in RNAcentral is "partial large subunit ribosomal RNA". It matches the Rfam family "Eukaryotic large subunit ribosomal RNA", at positions 20 to 644 of the family's 3401-position model. The record is from RNAcentral. Lineage: Eukaryota; Fungi; Neocallimastigomycota; Neocallimastigomycetes; Neocallimastigales.